RNAcentral lists this unclassified non-coding RNA (260 nucleotides) under uncultured fungus. RNAcentral's name for it is "partial contains 5.8S ribosomal RNA, internal transcribed spacer 2, and large subunit ribosomal RNA". The stretch from base 1 to 52 matches the Rfam family "5.8S ribosomal RNA", at positions 103 to 154 of the family's 154-position model. Lineage: Eukaryota; Fungi. The record is from RNAcentral.
AACGCACCUUGCGCCCUCUGGUAUUCCGGAGGGCAUGCCUGUUUGAGUGUCAUGUCAACCUUCAUCCCACCGGGUCCUGCCCGGCGGGGUUGGAAUUGGGCGCUGCCGUCUGGCUCGCCUCAAAUGCAUUGGUGGCCAUCUGGCCCUGCUACGGCGUAAUACGUUUCGUCGGAUCAGGGCAUAGUAACCUCCUUGAAACCGCCUCUCACGAGGAUUGUACGAUUGACCUCAGAUCAGGUAGGACUACCCGCUGAACUUAA